Molecule: long non-coding RNA, 335 nt
Filed under: Pelobates cultripes (western spadefoot toad)
Lineage: Eukaryota; Metazoa; Chordata; Amphibia; Anura; Pelobatidae
Source: RNAcentral
ACACUCUGCAUUAACUGUACACACAGCAUCCACUACACAAACAUCCUGUAUUCACAGUACACACACUACAUCCACCACAAAUUGAAACACUCUGCAUUCACUAUACACAGACACUGCGCCUGAUACACACACUACAGACACUGCAUCCACUAAACACAUUUCAUCUAGUACAUACAAACACUACGUCCACUACACAAACACACACUACAUCACUGUACACACACUACAUCCACUACUCAAAAACACUCUGCGUUCACUAUACACACUGCAUCCGCUACACCACACACUCUGCAUUCAUUGCACAAACAGUAUCUAAUACACACAAACACUACAUC